GACGAACGCUGGCGGCGUGCUUAACACAUGCAAGUCGAACGGAAAGGCCCUUCGGGGUACUCGAGUGGCGAACGGGUGAGUAACACGUGGGUGAUCUGCCCUGCACUUUGGGAUAAGCCUGGGAAACUGGGUCUAAUACCGAAUAGGACCACGCGCUUCAUGGUGUGUGGUGGAAAGCUUUUGCGGUGUGGGAUGGGCCCGCGGCCUAUCAGCUUGUUGGUGGGGUAAUGGCCUACCAAGGCGAGGAAGGGUAGCCGGCCUGAGAGGGUGACCGGCCACACUGGGACUGAGAUACGGCCCAGACUCCUACGGGAGGCAGCAGUGGGGAAUAUUGCACAAUGGGCGCAAGCCUGAUGCAGCGACGCCGCGUGAGGGAUGACGGCCUUCGGGUUGUAAACCUCUUUCGCCAGGGACGAAGCGCAAGUGACGGUACCUGGAGAAGAAGGACCGGCCAACUACGUGCCAGCCGCCGCAGUAA
Molecule: ribosomal RNA, 478 nt
Filed under: uncultured bacterium
Lineage: Bacteria
Description: partial 16S ribosomal RNA
Rfam family: Bacterial small subunit ribosomal RNA
Source: RNAcentral